Molecule: long non-coding RNA, 1673 nt
Organism: Struthio camelus australis
Lineage: Eukaryota; Metazoa; Chordata; Aves; Struthioniformes; Struthionidae
Source: Ensembl
GCGGCCGCCCACCAGCCCCGGGCAGCCGGGGGCUCCCGCGUGGCUCCGGCGGGGGCUCCGGCAACGCCAAAACCUGCAUUGGCCAGGCGAGGAGGAGGAGGAGGCUGAAGCAGAACCGAGCUCGGAGUUAUCCUGUCAUAACACAGGAGUGAGAAAAUCCCGCUCUCUGCUCGCAUUAUCAUGAAUGAGUUACUGUGCUGGAAGUUUUGCAACGCACAGAUUUCUGCUUCGGUGAAACUAAGCGAUUGUGCAAGGCUGCAGCUGUCAAGGCCGUCAUCCGCAAGGCUUUGGUGCCAGCAGUGGAAGGCAGAGUGGGAAGCAGAGUGAGGUGAUCCAAACCAAACAAAGCGGCUCCAGCUGCUUCUCCCAAAUAAACUCAGGGACAGUUUUUGGACGUCUGGCUGGCUUGCAACCUUUUUCUCUGCACUGAGCAUCUGCUGCCGUGAAGAUAGGCAGAGAAAUGCCAAAUAGGGUUUUCUUUUCAGCUAUAAAGCCCUCAAUUUGUCUCAAGAACUCUUCUGUAACUGACAGCUGCCCAUUCAACAUUUGCAAAUCACCACAUCGCAACCACCUCCACAAGCAAUGGAAUAAACCUCGUGCAGAUACCCGAGCCCAAGAGAGGGUGACAGAAGACACGGGAGAAGGAGGGGACCAGGACCAGCUGAGAGAGUGACGGCAUCUUGCCAAGUCGAAGGUAACAUCCAUUUGUAUUUAACGUGCUGCCUUGAAAGUAACUGGCUAAUUCUGGUAAUUUUGGUAAUCUGCAGAGAGACCUGCAACAGUUACGUCCCUCUUGAUACCCUUUGGAUAGCUGCUUUUUCAGUUUGUCUGUUUUGGCCAGCUGAUGUGGAGAGGGGAAAAAUGGAAAAGACUGUGCUCUGGGAGUAAGCUGUCAAAGGAAGAGAUGUCUUCAACAGCGUGAAGGCACUCUGAAAGUCUGAGGUGGAGCAUCUCCAGUCUCUGUGCAGCCCAGGAAAAUCACUUUUGAAUUAUGCCAAACUCAGAGGCACCUUUUAUAGAUUUAUAUAUAUCUAUUCCAUCUAUAUAUCAAUAUUCAUUAUAUUUUGAUCAUUUUUGAAUUUUUGCUGGUGAACCUAUGGACUGCUUUUUAGGGAUUUCUGACAAGUAACUCAGAAAAGCAAGCCUACUGCUGGGAGGCUUACAGUCGCAGUGUAUAUGGCCAUCAUGCAUGGAAAAAAAAGAUGAAAAGCGUUAGCAGUAAGUACUUUUCUACCCGUAACUGUUGCUGUAUAAACAGUCAUUAUCAUGUGACUCAACAUCUUGAUAUUUAGGGAUUUUGUAUCAAAACAAAACUGAAGUUAAUAACACGCUUAACGUAUAGCUGAAAAUUGAACACAGGAUUAUAUUCUCAAUGUAGAUUGCAGCACUGCUUUUCUCCCGUUACACAUCAUUAUUCCUAAACGAAGAACUUUGUAGGGUUGAAGGCUGUAUUUGUAACAGGUUUCUCUGCACUGCAUACCGACUUUGGUGGAAACAGUCCUGGUGCCGCAGGGAAAGUUGAGGCAGUUCAGUGCAGCAUGAGCAGCAUCAGUUCCCGGAGCAGGAACAAAUACUGGGCCCAGCAUCCCUCUCCUGCGUAUCUGGAUCUUCCUUUUUCCCUGCGCAAGGUGGCUCAGCCCAGCUAAAAGGGGUGGAUUCCGAUUCCUUCCUUU